AAAGCUCCGGCGGUGCAGGAUGAGCCCGCGGCCUAUCAGCUAGUUGGUGAGGUAACGGCUCACCAAGGCGACGACGGGUAGCCGGCCUGAGAGGGCGACCGGCCACACUGGGACUGAGACACGGCCCAGACUCCUACGGGAGGCAGCAGUGGGGAAUAUUGCACAAUGGGCGAAAGCCUGAUGCAGCGACGCCGCGUGAGGGAUGACGGCCUUCGGGUUGUAAACCUCUUUCAGCAGGGAAGAAGCGAAAGUGACGGUACCUGCAGAAGAAGCGCCGGCUAACUACGUGCCAGCAGCCGCGGUAAUACGUAGGGCGCAAGCGUUGUCCGGAAUUAUUGGGCGUAAAGAGCUCGUAGGCGGCUUGUCACGUCGGUUGUGAAAGCCCGGGGCUUAACCCCGGGUCUGCAGUCGAU
Molecule: ribosomal RNA, 413 nt
Filed under: Streptomyces sp. sp3
Lineage: Bacteria; Bacillati; Actinomycetota; Actinomycetes; Kitasatosporales; Streptomycetaceae
Description: bacterial SSU rRNA
Rfam family: Bacterial small subunit ribosomal RNA
Source: RNAcentral